This 355-nucleotide ribosomal RNA is filed under the name uncultured bacterium. RNAcentral's name for it is "bacterial SSU rRNA". It matches the Rfam family "Bacterial small subunit ribosomal RNA", at positions 1210 to 1533 of the family's 1533-position model. The record is from RNAcentral.
AGGGCCACACACGUGCAACAAUGGCCGGUACAGACGGAGGCAAUGCCGAGAGGCGGAGCAAACCCGAGAAAACCGGUCCCAGUUCGGAUUGAGGUCUGCAACUCGACCUCAUGAAGUCGGAAUCGCUAGUAAUCGCAUAUCAGAACGAUGCGGUGAAUACGUUCCCGGGCCUUGUACACACCGCCCGUCACACCACGAAAGUUUGUUGUACCCGAAGUCGGUGCCUUAACCUCGCAAGAGGAGAGAGCCGCCCAAGGUAUGGCCGAUGAUUGGGUGAAGUCGUAACAAGGUAGCCGUAGGGGAACCUGCGGCUGGAUCACCUCCGUUUCCUAGGAGAGAAGGGUCCUGGAUGAAG